GCAGUAUAUGUCAGACUUCCAAGAAAAGCUCGCAAUGUCAUAAAUAAAGAAUGCCUGUACCAUAACCGACACAGGUGGGUAGGUAGAGUAUACUAAGGGGCGCGAGAUAACUCUCUCUAAGGAACUCGGCAAAAUAACUCCGUAACUUCGGGAGAAGGAGUGCCUUCUUUAAGAAGGUUGCAAUAACAAGAUCCAAGCAACUGUUUAUCAAAAACACAGGUCUCCGCUAAGUCGUAAGACGAUGUAUGGGGGCUGACGCCUGCCCAGUGCCAGAAGGUUAAAGAAGUUGGUUAGCUUUUGCGAAGCUGAUGACUGAAGCCCUGGUGAACGGCGGCCGUAACAAUAACGGUCCUAAGGUAGCGAAAUUCCUUGUCGGGUAAGUUCCGACCCGCACGAAAGGCGUAAUGAUUUGGAUACUGUCUCGGAGAGGGACUCGGUGAAAUAGACUUGUCUGUGAAGAUGCGGACUACCUGCACCAGGACAGAAAGACCCUAUGAAGCUUUACUGUAACUUGAAAUUGAAAUUGGACUUUAUUUGCGCAGUAUAGGUGGAAGGCGUUGAAAGUAAUCUUGCGGGAUUAGUGGAGCCAUCAGUGAGAUACCACUCCUAUAAUGUUAGAUUUCUAACUUUGGAUCAUGAUCUGGUCAAAGAACAGUUUCAGGCGGGCAGUUUGACUGGGGCGGUCGCCUCCCAAAUGGUAACGGAGGCGUACAAAGGUUUCCUCUGAACGGGUAGAAAUCGUAUCUAGAGUGUAAAGGCAUAAGGAAGCUUGACUGUGAGACCUACAAGUCGAGCAGGGACGAAAGUCGGUCUUAGUGAUCUGACGGUGCUGAGUGGAAAGGCCGUCACUCAACGGAUAAAAGUUACUCUAGGAUAACAGGCUGAUCUCCCCCAAGAGUUCACAUCGACGGGGAGGUUUGGCACCUCGAUGUCGGCUCAUCGCAUCCUGGGGCGGUAGUACGUCCCAAGGGUUGGGCUGUUCGCCCAUGAAAGCGGUACGCGAGCUGGGUUCAGAACGUCGUGAGACAGUUCGGUCCAUAUCCGGUGUAGGCGUUAGAAUAUUGAGAGGAGCCUUCUUUAGUACGAGAGGACCGAGAAGGACAUACCUCUGGUGUACCAGUUAUCGUGCCAACGGUAAACGCUGGGUAGCUAUGUAUGGAGAGGAUAACCGCUGAAAGCAUCUAAGUGGGAAGCCCACCUCAAGAUGAGUAUUCUCAC
This 1218-nucleotide ribosomal RNA is filed under the name metagenome. RNAcentral's name for it is "bacterial LSU rRNA". It matches the Rfam family "Bacterial large subunit ribosomal RNA", at positions 1590 to 2817 of the family's 2925-position model. The record is from RNAcentral.